RNAcentral lists this long non-coding RNA (211 nucleotides) under Sarcophilus harrisii (Tasmanian devil). Its description in RNAcentral is "lncRNA (ENSSHAG00000025527.1)". Lineage: Eukaryota; Metazoa; Chordata; Mammalia; Dasyuromorphia; Dasyuridae. The record is from RNAcentral.
AUUAGAAGUUGUGGUGACCAGGAAAGUCCUCCUGUGCAAGGUGGGGAAACCAAGAGACCAGAGGGAAAAAAGGUUGAAGUCCGCUCUUAGAAGAAAGGAGAGAUUGUCCCAAGUCCCAAGUUUCCUCUAUAGGCAACAACAGCUGUCCUGGGGCUAGUGCUGCUGACUUCCAGUGCUGGGGUCCCUGGAGAAAGUGAGUUUAAGCUUGAAG